UACACAUGGGACAAGGCUUCCAUCUACAGCACCUCCCCCCAAACCAAAAACCUCAGUGAUCUCUCUUUAAGAAAUCAACUCCUCCCAAGGAGAUUUCUCUUCUCCUUUCCUCCGCCAUUGUGCACACUGCGCCUGAUUCAGAUUCUCGCCAUGUCUUCUCACAAGACUUUCAGAAUCGAGUGAUUCCUGGCAAAGAAACAAAAGCAAAAUCGUCCUGUUCCUCAAUGGAUUCGAAUGAAAACUGGUAACAAAAUCAGGUAC
Molecule: long non-coding RNA, 261 nt
Filed under: Rattus norvegicus (Norway rat)
Lineage: Eukaryota; Metazoa; Chordata; Mammalia; Rodentia; Muridae
Description: long non-coding RNA NONRATT029727
Source: RNAcentral